UACGUAGGUGGCAAGCGUUGUCCGGAUUUACUGGGCGUAAAGAGCGCGCAGGCGGUCGUUCAAGUCGCGUGUGAAAGCCCCCGGCUCAACUGGGGAGGGUCACGCGAUACUGAUCGACUCGAAGGCAGGAGAGGGUAGUGGAAUUCCCGGUGUAGUGGUGAAAUGCGUAGAUAUCGGGAGGAACACCAGUGGCGAAGGCGGCCGCCUGGGCCAGUCCUGACGCUGAGCCGCGAAAGCGUGGGGAGCGAUCCGG
Molecule: ribosomal RNA, 253 nt
Filed under: uncultured bacterium
Lineage: Bacteria
Description: partial 16S ribosomal RNA
Rfam family: Bacterial small subunit ribosomal RNA
Source: RNAcentral